This 308-nucleotide ribosomal RNA is filed under the name Rutola graminis. RNAcentral's name for it is "5.8S ribosomal RNA". The stretch from base 2 to 155 matches the Rfam family "5.8S ribosomal RNA". From Rfam's summary of the family: 5.8S ribosomal RNA (5.8S rRNA) is a component of the large subunit of the eukaryotic ribosome. It is transcribed by RNA polymerase I as part of the 45S precursor that also contains 18S and 28S rRNA. The record is from RNAcentral. Lineage: Eukaryota; Fungi; Ascomycota.
AAACUUUCAACAAUGGAUCUCUUGGCUCUGGCAUCGAUGAAGAACGCAGCGAAAUGCGAUAAGUAGUGUGAAUUGCAGAAUUCAGCGAAUCAUCGAAUCUUUGAACGCACAUUGCGCCCUUUGGUAUUCCUUAGGGCAUGCCUGUUCGAGCGUCAUUUCAACCUUCAAGCCUGGCUUGGUGUUGGGUGCUUGUCCCGCCCCCGUGCGCGGACUCACCUCAAAGACAUUGGCAGCCGCAUCACCCAGCCGCGAGCGCAGCACAUUGCGCGACCGACGGGGGGAGCGUGCUAUCCAGAAGCAUUUCUAGU